This 2720-nucleotide long non-coding RNA is filed under the name Homo sapiens (human). Its description in RNAcentral is "HSALNT0329804". Lineage: Eukaryota; Metazoa; Chordata; Mammalia; Primates; Hominidae. The record is from RNAcentral.
UUCCUCCACCCACCGCCCACAGCGCCCCAGAAGGACCUAUUACUCGUUUGGCUUCUGAAGGCCGAAGCCAGGCUCUGGCGGGGAUAGAACCCUGAAGGGCCUGCGCCAGCUCCAACUUAGGGCCCUGUGCGUCGUUGCGACUUCUGCUACCACCCUAUCACGCGGCACCCCCGCCCCAACUCCGCCCGGGUCUCUGAAGAGGCAAUAGGCCUUUCAUCUCCGGGGAAAGUCUCACCUUGGCCCUCAGACACCCGCCAAGAGGGGUCGGAAGGACAGAAUUAGCAUAGAGAAGAGUGGCUAGAGCACUUUUCAGGCUCUGGCCCCAGGAAUCCUUGACAGGAAGCGUGGGGUUGCUGCCCAGCCUCCCACGCAGUGUAAUAUGUUGAAGCCGGGCCCCUUUGAGGGAAUGCGACUUCCUUGGGCCGAGGGGGAAAGGGCAGUGCCUGAUGGCUGAGAAGAAUCGCAGAGGACUAGAAAAGGUUUGAGUCUGAAAUUAUCUGGCACAGAGGAUUAAAGCUCAGAAAUAAGUGAUUGCGAAACAGUUCAACUUCCCUGUUAAUGACAACAACAACAGCAACACGCUUAUUAAUUCCUAGCUGGAGCAUCAAGCUUAUGAAGAUUUCCAAGACUUUAUUGUUGACCCUUGUUGAAGAGAACUCUACUUGGCUUCUUUCCUGGCUUUCCUAAAUUGUUCACAUACAAGAUAAACUACCGUCAUUCAGACUUACAGAAGUGAGAAGACAAGCUGAACCAAAUGUAAAAUGGUAGCAAUUUACAGAUGUCAGAACUAACAUGUGGAUGAACUUAGAGAUGGAGAAGAAAGCUGGGCUUUUCCAAAGAGUGGAUCUAUCUGAACUGGAUAGCACUAUUGAACUUUGUUGCAUAUUUUGUGGUAGCUCUAAAACUCCUCUGCUUGCUUACAUACAACCAGACACCAGUGCCUUCUGAAGCUAAUCCAGGCCAUUUUUAUAACCUAAUGCAGUAGCACUUUGCAAUUAGAUGAAGAAGAUCGGUGGGAUUUCUUUCUGUGGUGAUUAAAAUGUGUCAGGGGAAGAAAUCAAGACAAUACUCCAAGUGAAAAAUAUAAAGUCAGUUAUUUCUUUAAUAUUUUGUGUUAUAGUAAUCAUUUUUAUAUUUUGAGCAUACUUUUUCUUGUCUACUUAAAUACUCAAAAUUAAUUAUAAAAUGUAAAUGUAAGCACAAUGAGAUACCAUCUCAUCCCAGUUAAAAUGGCUUUUAUCAAAAAGAUAGGGAAUAAUGAAUACUGGUGGAAGGAUGUGGAGAAUGGGGAACCCUCGUACACUGUCAAUGAGAAUGUAAAUUAGUACAGCCACUAUGGAAAACUGUAUGGAAGUGCCUCCGAAAACAAAGUAGAACUACCAUGUGAUCCAGCAAUUACACUAGUGGGUAUAUAUUCAAAAGAAAGGAAAUCAACAUAUUAAAGAGAUAGCUGCAUUCUCAUGUUUAUUGAAGUCCUGUUGAAAUAGCCAAAAUAUGGAAUCAACCUAAGUGCCCAUCAGUGGAUGAAUGGUUAAAGAAAAUGUGAUUGAUAUGCAAUGGAAUAUUAUUCAGCCAUAAAAAAGAAUGAAAUCCUGGCGGGGCACAGUGGCUCAUGCAAGUAAUCCCAGCACUGACCUCAUGAAGACAGAGAGUAGAUUGGUGGUUACCAGAGGUUGAGAAGGGGAGAGGAGAGGAGGGAUGAAGAGAGGUUGAUUGAUGGAUAGAAAUAUACAGUUUGAUAAUGAUAAAUCAGUAGGGUGACUAUAGUUUAUAAUAACCUAUUGUAUGGUUCAAAAUAGCUAAAAGAGAAUAAUUGAAAUAACGUAAGACAAAAAUUUAAGAUGAUAGAUAUCCCAAUUACACUGAUUUGAUCUUUACAAAUUAUAUGAAUGUAUUAAAUUAUUACAUGUAUCCCCAAAAUAUGUACAAGUAUUUUGUAUCAAUAAAAAAUAAAAUUUAAGAUAAAGUAAAUGUAAUGAUUAGCUUAUAUUUCCUAGAUCGGAAAUAAAUAUUUACUUAAGUAUGUUUAUGAUGAAGAGUUUUUUUAUAUUACUAUAAAAAUAGACACCUUACAUAAACAUAUUACAGUUGGUGUUUAGAUGGCUCUUUUUUUUCUGGCCUUGAAUUUCUGGAAAGUAGGUAUGGCCUGCUAUGUCAGGACUAGUUCUUGGAAUUCUUUGUUGUUUUUCAGUCAGCCUUAUUUUCUUGGGUCAUGUUUUGAACAAUAUUUAUCAAAUGUCUGUUUACCAGACGUUGUUCCAGAUGCUUGAACAAAAUGAAAUGUCUGCUGUCAUAGAGUUUCCAGUCUAUGUAAGACAGUAAACAAAUGUAUAAUAUAAUGCUAGAUAGUGAUAAGUGCUAAAAAGAAGAAGAAAAUAGGAAAGGGGAAAGAGAGUUUCUGUGUGAUUGUAUGUGAAAGUGUCCAUGCAUGCCGCUCACCCAGUAUUUUAAAUAGAGUGAUCAAGGAAGCCUGUCUGAAGAAGUAACAUUUGAACAGAGAUCUGAAAUAGUCAGUCACGGGAACAUUUAGGGAGAUGUUCCAGGCAGGCAUUGUGGACAAUUUAUGUCACAAAAAAGUCACCCAAGUGUUAAGUCAAGUAACAUCCUGUAUGAUAACUAUAUAUACAUUUUUUUGUUUUUUCUUAAGUGAAAAACAAACUUAUUAGGUUUUCUGGGUACUCAUUAGGUUUUCAGAAAAGUUUUUCAUUUAAUAUCAUUAU